Molecule: ribosomal RNA, 253 nt
Filed under: uncultured bacterium
Lineage: Bacteria
Description: partial 16S ribosomal RNA
Rfam family: Bacterial small subunit ribosomal RNA
Source: RNAcentral
UACGUAGGGGGCAAGCGUUGUCCGGAAUCAUUGGGCGUAAAGAGCGCGUAGGCGGCCCGAUAAGUCCGCUGUGAAAGUCAAGGGCUCAACCCUUGAAUGCCGGUGGAUACUGUCGGGCUAGAGUCCGGAAGAGGCGAGUGGAAUUCCUGGUGUAGCGGUGAAAUGCGCAGAUAUCAGGAGGAACACCAAUGGCGAAGGCAGCUCGCUGGGACGUGACUGACGCUGAGACGCGAAAGCGUGGGGAGCAAACAGG